UUAAUGAAACCUAGAAAAACAUGAAACUGUUCGAAUCUUUAAAAAUAUAAAUGUAUUUUAACAACUUAUAAGGACAUGUCUCUAUUUAAUUUUAAUAACAAGUUGAAAAUUUUUCGUAAAUAUAUUUGUUUUUUAUCUGUUAUAUUUUGUUUUAUAAUUAUUUUUAUCAUACUUACAGGGACUUCCAAUGAAUUAGACAUUAUCAAAGUGGUAACCAUUUGAUAUCUACACGAAACUAACGAGAAAAAAACAUGCGUGACAAACGUUAUGAAGACGAUUAAAUUAUAUUACGUUAUUAUCUUAAUGUAUGAAUUUUAGUGUAUGUUCAUUCAGUAAAGAAUAUUAUGAAACAUAUGAAAGAAAUCCUUGCAGAUUACCAAAAUAGAAUAUAAAGAACAUUAAUUGAAACGGUACAUUUAAAAGCAAAGGACAUUGUAUUUGAAACUUAAUAACCUUAUGCAAACGCAAGGACCAAAAAGAAGUCAAUGAAUAUAUGUUUCAAUAGAUUUUCAUUUUAAGAUAUAUAUUAUUUUUAAAAGGAUAAAUGACUUUUUCUCUAUUUCUAUUGAUUUGCAUUUCUUAAGGAUACUUUCUAGGGAAAUCAUUUCAGGAAAGUAAGGUGACUUUGAUUUAGUUUUCUUGUGCAAUUAUUUGUAUUUGUUUGCCUUUGUUUUGUUUGUUUUGUUUUUGCAGAUGAUAUUAACUACGUGGCGAAUGAAAGGGACGACAUAAGAACAGCAACAAUCGAGAACGGAGUAGCUUGUGCAGUAUCUUGUCACAAUGGACUAAAAACACGAACACCAUACGAUAAAAGUAGUUUCGAGAAGGACAUGGCACAAGAUGUUCUGCAAUGAAUGGAAAGUGUAAAAGAUCAUGUUUAUCAACAGAAAUAGCUCUGACUGGACAUGGGUGCUGUCAUCAUAAAAAAUGUUGUAAAGAACCUAUAGCUACAUGUAGGCCAUCAUGCCGCGAUAUUUGUGGGACGAAUGGAUGUGGAUGUAUACAUUGUGAUUGUGAGUGUCAUGGCAAUUGUCUUGCGACCAAUAUUACUACUUGUUGUGAAGACUUCGUGACAGAGUGUACCUGAUUUUUAAAGCAUUUGCAAUAUGUAUUGUUUAUCAUGUUUAUUUGAGUAACUGUUACCAAAUUAAAAAAAGAAAUAAAAAUAGACAUGAAAAAAUGUAGGAAUAUAUCUCCUUUUCUAAAGCUCUAUUUUUAUAUCAAUGUUUUGGUUCUGUUUCGUUUAUAUGUAUUUCA
Molecule: long non-coding RNA, 1257 nt
Organism: Mytilus trossulus (common blue mussel)
Lineage: Eukaryota; Metazoa; Mollusca; Bivalvia; Mytilida; Mytilidae
Exons: 3
Source: RefSeq, a predicted model, not a curated record